UGCACUCGCAAUAAUAAUAUUACUUGUAUUUUUCAUCCCACAAAGUACACAAAUCAUUUGGAAAAUCUCGCCCAAAAUGAAAUCGUUUUUACUUACGGUGGCAGUUUGUUGCCUGUUGUUGGUAGCCAUGACAACUGCAGCAUCAAUUGACCAAAAGACUGGUGAUGAGAUCAAAGCUAUGGAUUUGUUCGUUUCUGGCGGACCGAGUACACUGUGCAAACCGCAAUACACGCCAUGUCUUCCAUACCUGAACCAAUGCUGUGUUGGAAAAUGUACCUUUACGUAUGCCUUCGGAUGGGGAUGUUUCUCAUAAUUGGCUUUGAUAUUACCUGAACUUUUUAAAAUGUAUUAAAUAAAAAUCUUUCUGAAGCAAACUGAA
Long non-coding RNA from Folsomia candida, 379 nucleotides. RefSeq lists it as uncharacterized. NCBI's taxonomy places the organism in Eukaryota, Metazoa, Arthropoda, Collembola, Entomobryomorpha, Isotomidae. The record is from RefSeq and is a predicted model, not a curated record. The transcript has 2 exons.